CAUGAUGCCCACGCUGGCCUCAAACUCCUUACUUAGGUGAUCCACCUGCCUCGGCCUCCUAAAGUUCUGGGAUUACAGGUGUGAUCCACCGUGCCUGGCCAAGAAGUCAUCUGUAUUAGAUCUACUCUUUGGAAUCACUUUGAGGUUUUGUGUCCUUUCAUGUGACAUGGCCGUGAGCAUGACAGAUGUCACUGUGGGCCUCAUGAACAAAUUAUCCAACCUGGAAAUGGCUGUGGGAAAUUCCUGAACCUGCAGUUGGCAUCAGAAGGCCUGGGCAGACUUGGCCAGCCAUCUGGAGCACUGUCCCCAUAAACUCAGGUUUGCCUUACAUCAGGUACUAUGUAAAAAACAGUGAAAUUCAAAUAGGUCUGUGGAUAAUAGUACUGUACCAAGCUUGUUAGAACAAGUUUAUCUGUGUCUACAAAAAAAAUAAAUAAAUAAAUGCUGAGAUUCUCAUGGCAAUUGUGUUAAACCUAAUAGACCAAUUUGGGGAUAAUUAAUACCUUUUUUUGAGACAGGGAAAUAGUGUUCACUUUUAAAUUUCAGUGCACAGUUGUUCAUUGCUGAUAUAUAGAAAUACAAAUGCUUUUUGUAUGUUAACUUUGUAUCUUGUGGCCUUACUAAACUCACUUGUUAAUUCUAGAAGGGUUUUUCUUUUUUAAAAAGAUUUGUUGGGAUUUUCUGUGUAGACAAUUAUGUUAUCUGUGAUUUUCUCCUUUCCAGGCUCUUUUCCAAUGAUUUUAACUUUUCUUGCCAUGUUACACGGGCCAGGACUUGUAAUACUAUGCUGAAUAGGAGUGGUGAGGCCGGCCACCGUCGGACCUUAUCCUAUGGGGAAAGAAUUCGGUUUUUCAUCAUGAAGUAUGAUGUUAGCUGUCGGUUUUUUGUCGAUGUUCUUUAUGAGGUUGAAGAAGUUUCCUUCAAUUCCUAGUUUGAGAGUUUUUAUUACAAAUGGGGAUUGAAUUUUAUCAAGUGCCUUUUCUGCAUUAAUUGAUAUAACCAUGUGUUUUUCCUUCUUCAGACUAUUAAUAUAGUGAGUUAGUGUGAUUUUGAAUGUUUGCAUUCCAUUUCUGGAUUAACCCCACCACGUCAUAGUGUCUUAUAGUCUUUGCACAUGGCUAGGUCUGCUUUACUGAGACUUUAUUGAGAACUUUUGUGCAUACAUUCAUAAAGGAUGGUGGACCCUAGUACUGUUUUUCUCUAGUUUUGGUAUCAGAAUCAUUGUUGGCCUCAUGAGAAGUGCUGUCUCCCCUUUUAUUUUUGGAAGACAGUGUAUAGAAUUAAUAUUUCUUUACAUGUUUAGUAAAAUUCACCAGUGACAUCAUCUGGCUUCAGAAAGUGCUUUUGGAUGGGUUUCAGCUUCAGAUUCUCUUUCAUCUUCAGUGAGUUUUUGGUAGUUUUUGGUUUUCAGGGAAUUGGUUUAUUUCAUCUAACCUGUUGACUUUGGGCACAUAAAGAUGUACACAGUGCUAUUUGUUAUUGCUGGGAUAUCUUGAAAGAUUGGUGGCGAUACAUGUUCUUUUCAUUCCUGACAUUGGUCAUUUGUUUCUCUGCCCUUUUUUCUUUGAUAAGCUUCUUGCAAGGGAGUUUUAUUGAUCUUUUCAAAGAACUAGGUUUUGAUUUUCCUCUUUUGGCUUUAGUUUGAUUUCUGCUCUUUAUUUUGGUGACUGUUUCUGUGCUACUCAUGGAUGGUGUGUUGUACAAAUAUAAAUCAAGCUAAGUUGCUUAAUGGUGGUGUCCAAGUCUACUGUAUCCUUAAUGAAAAGAUCUUUGUUUUCAUGUCUACUUUAUACUUUGUUAGCAUUUUUGUCUUACUACAACUUUAUCCCUAUUUUUUCCUCCAAAAGUUUUAUUUUAUAGGGUAUAAACAAGAGUUAAGAGUCAUUUUGAUUGCUAUUGCAAAUGCCAAUUGACCCUGGUUUUUUGGUUAUUUAUUUUUUAAUGGGAAGUAUAUUUCUUGGGCCAGCAAUGUGCCAAGGGCUCGUGAAAAGUGGAGCAGGAAGCCUCCCCGCCGCUGGGGGAAGCACCCCUUAGCAGACUGUGUAAGCGGCGUAAUUCAGCCCUAACCUCUUAAUGGUUCCAUGGGUUGGCAGCUUCGGGGAAUGCCGCCCACUGCUCUGCAGGUUUCUUCUCCAGCCAGCCCUGUGUGUGCGUCUCAUGAGGUUGGCCUGCCUGUGCAUCUCUUCCUGUAGCCGUGCAUGGUGUUAUAGGUUAUAGAGGGGCUUUUUCCCAGGCUGCGAAUCCUGCCUUGGAGGACUUUGGACUCUGCCUGGAACCCGGGCCAGGUUCCACUCUGAUCUUCUUUAUCUUGUUCUGCCCCAGCUGUUACCACCCCCGGCAGCCUUCUGCAUAGCUACUGUGGCCGGGUGCAAUAGUUGCUUUUACCUGACAACUUGACCAGGCUGAGCUGAUUUCGUCAAACAAUGGUCUAGAUGGUGCCGUGUAAUUAAUACGUAAGUCAAGAGGUUUGAAGUAAAACAGAUGAUCUUUCAUAAUGUGAGUGGGCCUUAUCCAGUCAGUUGAAGACUGUAAGAGAAAAGGCUGAGCUCCCUUGAGGAGGAAUUUCUGCCUUCAGUCUGCACCACCCGCUCUUCCCUGGGUCUCCAAGAUGCUGGCCUGCCCUCAAGAUGCGAGACUUGCCAGCCACAACAGUCCUAUGAGCAGUUCCUUAAGCCUCUGCAUCUCUCUCCAUCCUGUUGGUUUUGUUUCUCUGGUGAGGCCUGACUAGUAGCUGGGGGGUUCUAGUUCUGUCCUCAUUUCUUGAGAGAUGAAGAUGGGGUUCCCCUUCUGGUUCUCGUUGGCGGUUCUGGCCUGGCUUCACGCAGGAGAACAGCAUGGAGACCUGUCUCCUCUGCCAUCUUUCCCAUGGAAGAGCUGAUCUGUUUUACGAAGUCUUUGGGGCUGUGGGAUAUAAAGCUUGUCUGCAGGCAGGAGGAGAUAUUGCAUUUCCUGGUUCUAGAGAAAAAGGC
This is a long non-coding RNA of Sapajus apella (tufted capuchin), 2969 nucleotides long. RefSeq lists it as uncharacterized. The record is from RefSeq and is a predicted model, not a curated record. The transcript has 2 exons. Lineage: Eukaryota; Metazoa; Chordata; Mammalia; Primates; Cebidae.